Meriones unguiculatus (Mongolian gerbil) is the source of this 877-nucleotide long non-coding RNA. RefSeq lists it as uncharacterized. Lineage: Eukaryota; Metazoa; Chordata; Mammalia; Rodentia; Muridae. The transcript is spliced from 3 exons. The record is from RefSeq and is a predicted model, not a curated record.
GAAUUCUCUCUGUAGACCAGGCUGGACUUAUAAAGAUCCACCUGCCCCUGCCUCCUGAGUGCAGGGAUUAGAGCCACCACCUGGCUGUGUUUAUGUUUUCUGACACAGGGUCUCGCUCUGCCUCAGGCUAGCUUCAAACCUGCCGAAACCCUCCUAACACAGGCUCCCACGUGUUUGGGAGCACAAGUGUGAGCCGCCGAGCCCACCUCACCAAGGCAGCCACAGGAAGGGCUGGGGCUUGGUGGGUGGAGCGCUUCCUCAGCACAGAGCUCUGGGCUGCACCACUGUGCCUGUCAUCCCUCAGCCGGAGAGGCAGAGGCAGAAAGAUGGGGAGUUGAAGGCCAUCCUCUGCCACACAAGGCGGAGCCCUGGAUGCCGAGCAUUCUGGGCAGUGACUUUACCCUAGCUACGCACAUCCCAGAGUUUCUGUGUCUCCGUGUACUCCGUGGAGUACAUCUUGACCGUAUCGCUGGGAGGGGACAGACCAAGCCAGUCCAGAGGAAGGCAGGGAGCCAGGGCCAGGACCCCCUCCGCUUGUACUGACCCCAUCGAAGGCCCCACCAUGCCUCCUUCCAGCAAACCCCUGGAGAGCAUUCCCUCUCCGGGUUUAACUGACUUCUGGCGUUUUCUCUGCCCCCCAACUUCCAUGUCCAAUGGGUGCAGGCUGGUGUGUGGCUUGUGUUAUGUUUCUUUGAUAGCCGUACAAUUUGCACGUGCCUGUAUGUGCGCAAGUGUGUGCAGUGUAUCACUCUUCACCUCGUUCUUCAGAGUCUCUCACUGAACCCGGAACUCUCUCAUGAGGCUUGCCCUGCUGCCCGGGAGCCUCGAGGACCCUCCUGUCCCUGCCUCCCCGGCUCCCCUGGUCCCCACCUGCUUC